CAAGAAUGAAGCAAGGAAAACAAUUGUAAGUACAUCUUCUCUCUUUGUAUCAGUUACGGUUUUUGUCAGUUAAGUUUUUCAAUCAUCAGCCCGUAAUCGACCACUGCUGGGCAUAGGCCUUUCCCAAGGAGCGCCACAACAGCCAGUCCUCGGCCAUCCUCACCCAGCCACUACCGGCCAGCGAGCCGGAGGGCGACCCACGCUACGUUUGCCUGUUCCUCCGUGAUUAUGAUGAUCGGUGAAACUGAUGAUGAAGUCCAGAGUUUACCUCUGUGAUAUAGUAAUUAAAGGCAAAUAUAACAUCAAAAGACAAAUAUAAUGUUAGUGACGUCCUCCAUUUAAUUAAUUUUAUUAUUUUAAGGAUGGAGAAAAAACAUGGCUGCCCAUCUACUGUGGCGGUAGCGCCUCGCCAAUCAGAAGAUGAAAAUGAUGAGUCGAAGAGGAGACGUAUUCAAAUUACAGCAACGUGUUCAACCUUUCCAUCAAAGCACGAAGAGCAUGAAAAUGUUAAGCAUUCGAAGUCACCGAGUCAAUUAUUAGAAGGCUCUACAAAUGAAGAAAAUAAUAUGUUACUG
This is a non-coding RNA of Plutella xylostella (diamondback moth), 575 nucleotides long. The record is from RefSeq and is a predicted model, not a curated record. NCBI's taxonomy places the organism in Eukaryota, Metazoa, Arthropoda, Insecta, Lepidoptera, Plutellidae.